Molecule: ribosomal RNA, 253 nt
Filed under: uncultured bacterium
Lineage: Bacteria
Description: partial 16S ribosomal RNA
Rfam family: Bacterial small subunit ribosomal RNA
Source: RNAcentral
UACGUAGGGACCGAGCGUUGUCCGGAUUCAUUGGGCGUAAAGAGCUCGUAGGCGGCCACUCAAGUCGAAUGUGAAACCUCGAGGCUAACCUCGAGCCUGCAUUCGAUACUGGGCGGCUAGAGUCUGGUAGGGGGAUCUGGAAUUCCUGGUGUAGCGGUGGAAUGCGCAGAUAUCAGGAGGAACACCGGUGGCGAAGGCGGGAUCCUGGGCCAGUACUGACGCUGAGGCGCGAAAGCCAGGGGAGCGGAACGGG